CCUACGGGGGGCUGCAGUGGGGAAUAUUGCACAAUGGGGGAAACCCUGAUGCAGCGACGCCGCGUGAGUGAAGAAGUAUUUCGGUACGUAAAGCUCUAUCAGCAGGGAAGAAAAUGACGGUACCUGACUAAGAAGCCCCGGCUAACUACGUGCCAGCAGCCGCGGUAAUACGUAGGGGGCAAGCGUUAUCCGGAUUUACUGGGUGUAAAGGGAGCGUAGACGGCAGCGCAAGUCUGGAGUGAAAUCCCAUGGCUCAACCAUGGAACUGCUUUGGAAACUGUGCAGCUAGAGUGCAGGAGAGGUAAGCGGAAUUCCUAGUGUAGCGGUGAAAUGCGUAGAUAUUAGGAGGAACACCAGUGGCGAAGGCGGCUUACUGGACUGUAACUGACGUUGAGGCUCGAAAGCGUGGGGAGCAAACAGGAUUAGAUACCCCAGUAGUC
Molecule: ribosomal RNA, 440 nt
Filed under: uncultured bacterium
Lineage: Bacteria
Description: partial 16S ribosomal RNA
Rfam family: Bacterial small subunit ribosomal RNA
Source: RNAcentral